RNAcentral lists this ribosomal RNA (496 nucleotides) under uncultured bacterium. RNAcentral describes it as "partial 16S ribosomal RNA". It matches the Rfam family "Bacterial small subunit ribosomal RNA", at positions 29 to 507 of the family's 1533-position model. The record is from RNAcentral.
AUGAACGCUGGCGGCGUGCCUAAUACAUGCAAGUCGAGCGAACAGACGAGGAGCUUGCUCCUCUGACGUUAGCGGCGGACGGGUGAGUAACACGUGGAUAACCUACCUAUAAGACUGGGAUAACUUCGGGAAACCGGAGCUAAUACCGGAUAAUAUAUUGAACCGCAUGGUUCAAUAGUGAAAGACGGUUUUGCUGUCACUUAUAGAUGGAUCCGCGCCGCAUUAGCUAGUUGGUAAGGUAACGGCUUACCAAGGCAACGAUGCGUAGCCGACCUGAGAGGGUGAUCGGCCACACUGGAACUGAGACACGGUCCAGACUCCUACGGGAGGCAGCAGUAGGGAAUCUUCCGCAAUGGGCGAAAGCUUGACGGAGCAACGCCGCGUGAGUGAUGAAGGUCUUCGGAUCGUGAAACUCUGUUAUUAGGGAAGAACAAAUGUGUAAGUAACUAUGCACGUCUUGACGGUACCUAAUCAGAAAGCCACGGCUAACUACGUG